Molecule: long non-coding RNA, 399 nt
Filed under: Androctonus crassicauda
Lineage: Eukaryota; Metazoa; Arthropoda; Arachnida; Scorpiones; Buthidae
Source: RNAcentral
AUUGUACUGAAAUUAUUACCAGAUCUUCAAUCAACCUCCCAUCAUGAAAUUUUUCCUGAUUUUGUUGUUGGCUUCUGUUGUAGUGGUAUCUAAUGCUGCUCCCAAACCGGUCUAUACAACUGGGAAAACUACAUCCUAUACAACUGGUCAUUCAAUGUAUCCUGGAGCAGCAGCAACUACAUACCAUAGUCAAACUACUACUGGACACGGAAUGCCUAUGGCUGGUGCGAUGGGUGCAGGGCCUAUGAUGGGUUCAGGUAUGCAUACAAUGCAUGGAGUGCACGGAAAAAAAUAAAGGAAGAAUCAAAAAUGAUGAUCCACCAACUCCGAGACGCACCACUCUUGGAUUUGAUUAAAUUGAAUGGAUUAUUGUUUAAUUUCAAAAUAAAUUGUUGCAAG